RNAcentral lists this ribosomal RNA (433 nucleotides) under uncultured bacterium. RNAcentral's name for it is "partial 16S ribosomal RNA". It matches the Rfam family "Bacterial small subunit ribosomal RNA", at positions 29 to 507 of the family's 1533-position model. The record is from RNAcentral.
AACGAACGCUGGCGGCAUGCCUAACACAUGCGAGUCGAACGAGACCUUUGGGUCUAGUGGCGCACGGGUGCGUAACGCGUGGGAAUCUGCCCUUGGGUUCGGAAUAACAGUGAGAAAUUGCUGCUAAUACCGGAUGAUGUCUUCGGACCAAAGAUUUAUCGCCCAGGGAUGAGCCCGCGUAGGAUUAGCUAGUUGGUGGGGUAAUGGCCUACCAAGGCGACGAUCCUUAGCUGGUCUGAGAGGAUGAUCAGCCACACUGGGACUGAGACACGGCCCAGACUCCUACGGGAGGCAGCAGUGGGGAAUAUUGGACAAUGGGCGCAAGCCUGAUCCAGCAAUGCCGCGUGAGUGAUGAAGGCCUUAGGGUUGUAAAGCUCUUUUACCAGGGAUGAUAAUGACAGUACCUGGAGAAUAAGCUCCGGCUAACUCCGUG